This 107-nucleotide small nuclear RNA is filed under the name Sorex araneus (European shrew). Lineage: Eukaryota; Metazoa; Chordata; Mammalia; Eulipotyphla; Soricidae. The record is from RNAcentral.
GUGCUCGCUUUGGCAGCACAUAUACUAAACUUGGAAAGAUACAGAGAAGAUUAGCAUGGUCCCUGUGCAAGGAUGACAUGCAAAUUCGUGAAAAAGGUGAAAUCUAU